RNAcentral lists this ribosomal RNA (253 nucleotides) under uncultured bacterium. RNAcentral describes it as "partial 16S ribosomal RNA". It matches the Rfam family "Bacterial small subunit ribosomal RNA", at positions 524 to 776 of the family's 1533-position model. The record is from RNAcentral.
UACGUAGGGGGCAAGCGUUGUCCGGAUUUAUUGGGCGUAAAGAGCGCGCAGGCGGUCGGAUAAGUCGAAUGUGAAAGCCCCCGGCUCAACUGGGGAGGGUCAUUCGAUACUGUUCGACUCGAAGGCAGGAGAGGGAAGUGGAAUUCCCGGUGUAGUGGUGAAAUGCGUAGAUAUCGGGAGGAACACCAGUGGCGAAGGCGACUUCCUGGCCUGUUCUUGACGCUGAGGCGCGAAAGCUAGGGGAGCAAACGGG